Molecule: ribosomal RNA, 650 nt
Filed under: uncultured marine bacterium
Lineage: Bacteria
Description: bacterial SSU rRNA
Rfam family: Bacterial small subunit ribosomal RNA
Source: RNAcentral
UUGCUAUUUUGCUGACGAGUGGCGGACGGGUGAGUAAUGCUUGGGAAUAUGCCUUAUGGUGGGGGACAACAGUUGGAAACGACUGCUAAUACCGCAUAACAUCUCCGGAUCAAAGUGGGGGACCUUCGGGCCUCACGCCAUAAGAGUAGCCCAAGUGGGAUUAGCUAGUUGGUAAGGUAAUGGCUUACCAAGGCGACGAUCCCUAGUUGGUCUUAGAGGAUGACCAGCCACACUGGAACUGAGACACGGUCCAGACUCCUACGGGAGGCAGCAGUGGGGAAUAUUGCACAAUGGGCGCAAGCCUGAUGCAGCCAUGCCGCGUGUGUGAAGAAGGCUUUCGGGUUGUAAAGCACUUUCAGCGAGGAGGAAAGGUUGUACUUUAAUAGAGUGCAGCUGUGACGUUACUCGCAGAAGAAGCACCGGCUAACUCCGUGCCAGCAGCCGCGGUAAUACGGAGGGUGCGAGCGUUAAUCGGAAUUACUGGGCGUAAAGCGCGCGUAGGCGGUUAAUUAAGUCAGAUGUGAAAUCCCAGGGCUCAACCUUGGAACUGCAUUUGAAACUGGUUAACUAGAGUUUUGUAGAGGGUGGUAGAAUUUCAGGUGUAGCGGUGAAAUGCGUAGAGAUCUGAAGGAAUACCAGUGGCGAAGGCG